Molecule: ribosomal RNA, 203 nt
Filed under: uncultured bacterium
Lineage: Bacteria
Description: partial 16S ribosomal RNA
Rfam family: Bacterial small subunit ribosomal RNA
Source: RNAcentral
AUUACUCCUACGGGAGGCAGCAGUGGGGAAUUUUGGACAAUGGGGGCAACCCUGAUCCAGCAAUGCCGCGUGUGUGAAGAAGGCCUUCGGGUUGUAAAGCACUUUUAUCCGGAACGAAACGUGCGGGGUGAAUAGCCUCGUAAACUGACGGUACCGGAGGAAUAAGCACCGGCUAACUUCGUGCCAGCAGCCGCGGUAAUAAU